RNAcentral lists this ribosomal RNA (253 nucleotides) under uncultured bacterium. RNAcentral's name for it is "partial 16S ribosomal RNA". It matches the Rfam family "Bacterial small subunit ribosomal RNA", at positions 524 to 776 of the family's 1533-position model. The record is from RNAcentral.
GACAGACGGUCCGAGCGUUAGGCGGAAUCACUGGGCUUAAAGCGUGUGUAGGCGGAUUUGUAAGUACCUUGUGAAAUCCCACAGCUUAACUGUGGAACUGCUUGGUAUACUGCUUAUCUUGGGCCACUUAGGGGUUACCGGAACAAACGGUGGAGCGGUGAAAUGCGUAGAUAUCAGGAGGAACACCAAUGGCGAAGGCAGAUCUCUGGGCCGUAACUGACGCUGAGGAGCGAAAGCAUGGGGAGCGAACAGG